RNAcentral lists this ribosomal RNA (433 nucleotides) under uncultured bacterium. RNAcentral's name for it is "partial 16S ribosomal RNA". It matches the Rfam family "Bacterial small subunit ribosomal RNA", at positions 29 to 507 of the family's 1533-position model. The record is from RNAcentral.
AACGAACGCUGGCGGCAUGCCUAACACAUGCAAGUCGAACGAGACCUUCGGGUCUAGUGGCGCACGGGUGCGUAACGCGUGGGAACCUGCCCUUAGGUUCGGAAUAACUCCCCGAAAGGGGUGCUAAUACCGGAUAAUGUCUUCGGACCAAAGAUUUAUCGCCUUUGGAUGGGCCCGCGUUGGAUUAGCUAGUUGGUAGGGUAAAAGCCUACCAAGGCGACGAUCCAUAGCUGGUCUGAGAGGAUGAUCAGCCACACUGGGACUGAGACACGGCCCAGACUCCUACGGGGGGCAGAAGGGGGGAAUAGUGGACAGGGGGCAAGAGCUUGAACCAGCAAGGCCGCGGGAGUGAUGAGGCCCUUGGGGUUGUAAAGCUUUUUUCCCCGGGAGGAUAAUGACAGCACCGGGAGAAUAAGCCCCGGCAAACUCCGUC